GUGUGCAGCAGGAAACAGACUACGCGUUCAGUUUGCUGAACAACAUCGCCAUUUUCCAGACUUUGCGGGCAGGCAGCGCGGGGAUCGAGAAACCAGACUUAAACGCAGAACGCAAAGUUUAAAACCACGGCUCUACCCGAAAGAGAGACCAACUGACUGACCAGCACUGCCGUCAAAGAACCAGAACCAGAUGCACUUGAACCACCUACAGACUUGAGCGUGAGAGUGUCAGAUUUUCUACACUGGAAGGAAAAUGUUGUAUAGAAGACAAUGCAAUAUAGAGCAAACUGCUCUGUCACACAGAGGAGCACCAAGCGAAAUGCUGGAGUUGUCUUUUAUCAGUAGGGGGCAGUAUGGUUACACAGGAGCUGUGCUGCUUUCAAUAUCCCCCGCACAAAAGCUCUCCUGAGUACAAAGAGAGGAAAAUAUUAUAUAAUAAAAUCA
Long non-coding RNA from Toxotes jaculatrix (banded archerfish), 444 nucleotides. RefSeq lists it as uncharacterized. The transcript has 3 exons. The record is from RefSeq and is a predicted model, not a curated record. Lineage: Eukaryota; Metazoa; Chordata; Actinopteri; Toxotidae.